AUACGUAGGGGGCGAGCGUUGUCCGGAAUGAUUGGGCGUAAAGGGCGCGCAGGCGGCCCGGUAAGUCUGGAGUGAAAGUCCUGUUUUUAAGAUGGGAAUUGCUUUGGAUACUGUCGGGCUUGAGUGCAGGAGAGGUAAGUGGAAUUCCCAGUGUAGCGGUGAAAUGCGUAGAGAUUGGGAGGAACACCAGUGGCGAAGGCGACUUACUGGACUGUAACUGACGCUGAGGCGCGAAAGUGUGGGGAGCAAACAGGAUUAGAUACCCUGGUAGUCCACACGGUAAACGAUGAAUGCUAGGUGUAGGGGGUAUCGACCCCUUCUGUGCCGCAGUCAACACAAUAAGCAUUCCGCCUGGGGAGUACGGCCGCAAGGUUGAAACUCAAAUGAAUUGACGGGG
RNAcentral lists this ribosomal RNA (397 nucleotides) under uncultured bacterium. Its description in RNAcentral is "partial 16S ribosomal RNA". It matches the Rfam family "Bacterial small subunit ribosomal RNA", at positions 523 to 918 of the family's 1533-position model. The record is from RNAcentral.